Long non-coding RNA from Myotis davidii, 1215 nucleotides. RefSeq lists it as uncharacterized. Lineage: Eukaryota; Metazoa; Chordata; Mammalia; Chiroptera; Vespertilionidae. The record is from RefSeq and is a predicted model, not a curated record. The transcript is spliced from 3 exons.
CAUAACAAUUUUGACUUGGGAUAUAUAUUGAUAUGAACUGAACCAUUCCAGCGUAAAACUAUGGGGCUUUGGAAUCAGAUCACAUGAGUUAGAAGUCUCCUCUUUCAGUAACCGCAGUGCCUGAUUUCGUUGGUAUUAUGUAAUUUUGACAAGCCUUACUUCCUUCAUCUAUUAAAUAAUGAAAAAGUAUCUUUCUUAAAGCUAUUAUGAGAAUUAAACAGGACUGUGUAUAAGGCUAUACACAAUAUUAAUUUCCUUUCUCAAAAUGAAGUAUUUGGGGCCUUGCCAAUUUUGGUUUAGUGAGAAUUAUCAAGGCUGGCUUAUGAAAUAUUGAAAAGUGAUUUGCAAAUCAAAACUUUGUGGCCAUACUUUACUUUCUAAUGCUAUCUCCAUGAAUACAAGGGCCAUCUCUGUUUUGUUUACCAGUACCCAGGACAAUGAGUGAACUUGAUGAUAGUGCACCCAUUUUCACUGGAGGCCAUGGGAGGAUGCUGUGUGGCCAGCUGAAGACUGCCGUUCUUAGGUUAAAAGCAUGCAGAAUUAUUAGGCAGAAGAGACCCAGCCUGCCCUGAGGAGGCUGCCCAUCAGGGUGUUACAUGGAGGAGCAGCACACAUUCUCUCAGAGGCAGGAAGAAUCCAAAGAGAAAGAGAAGAGACAGGGGUCAGCCACUAGGUCCCCAAGCUCACAAGUCAGCCCCAGGCCCAGAAAAGCAGCAAAACCAGACCAGUGACGCUGUGGCAGCCUCAGGACCAGCUUUUACCUCCCAGUCACUCAGCAGGAUCACUGAGCCUUCACCAGCCCGUCUCGGGGAGACCAUGCUGCUGCACCCCUCGCUCCAACCAGAAGGAACCUGUACGACAUUCCAGCUGACUACACUCAAAGGCCAGCCCCCUGUGAUCUUGACAUCCAGACUCAGCAGCAAGUAACUACAGAAGACAUGACCUUUGUCCCUAUUCCAUAAAACAAAAAGGCUGGAAUGUUAGGUUUGAUGGAGCAAUUGAGUUGGUACUCUUCCCCCAGGAACUGGCUUUUCAGGUCAUUUCACAAUGGACAUUCCCUUUGACCACAUUCCAUUCUCUCUCCUCCAGGUCUGCAUAAAGAAGUGUCCACCCAGAAAAAGUCCCAUCAAAAGUCCUUUAGAAGCCGCUGACUGCCCUCACUGGGUGCUGGAGCCAUCCAGGCUCAGCCACCUGGUGUGUGGAUGAUCGAAUAAA